ACUUGAUUUGGAGCCUGCCUGAAAUUGAUUUUUCAGAAGCUGAAAAAGCUGGAGUGCAAUGGCACCAUCUCAGCUCACUGAGACCUCCACCUCCCAUGUUCAAGUGAUUCUCCUGCCUCAGCCUCCCGAGUAGCUGGGAUUACAGGCAUGCGCCACCAUGCCCCACUAAUUCUGUAUUUUUAGUAGAGAUGGGGUUUCUCCAUGUUGGUCAGGCUGGUCUUGAACUCCUGACCUCAGGUGAUCCGCCCCCCCUGACCUCCCAAAGUGCUGGGAUUACAGGCGUGAGCCACCAUGCUCGGAUAAUUUUGUAUUUGUAGUAGAGAUGGGGUUUCACUAUGUUGGUCAGGCCGGUCUUGAACUCCUGACCUCAAGUGAUCCACCCACCUCAGCCUCUCAAAAGUGCUGGGAUUACAGGCGUGAGCCACCACGCCCAGCCCACUUUCUUUAACUUUAAUAGAAUGAAAAUACAAAUCAAACCAAUCCAAUUUCUUGAGAAUAAAUUUUGAACUUGUAACACCAUUUCAAUAUAAAAAUGGCACUUUGUUGCCUUUA
RNAcentral lists this long non-coding RNA (552 nucleotides) under Pan troglodytes (chimpanzee). RNAcentral's name for it is "lincRNA". The record is from RNAcentral. Lineage: Eukaryota; Metazoa; Chordata; Mammalia; Primates; Hominidae.